AGUGAACGCUGGCGGUAGGCCUAACACAUGCAAGUCGAACGGCAGCACAGUAAGAGCUUGCUCUUACGGGUGGCGCGUGGCGGACGGGUGAGGAAUACAUCGGAAUCUACUUUUUCGUGGGGGAUAACGUAGGGAAACUUACGCUAAUACUGCAUACGACCUACGGGUGAAAGCAGGGGAUCUUCGGACCUUGCGCGAUUGAAUGAGCCGAUGUCGGAUUAGCUAGUUGGCGGGGUAAAGGCCCACCACGGCGACGAUCCGUAGCUGGUCUGAGAGGAUGAUCAGCCACACUGGAACUGAGACACGGUCCAGACUCCGACGGGAGGCAGCAGUGGGGAAUAUUGGACAAUGGGCGCAAGCCUGAUCCAGCCAUACCGCGUGGGUGAAGAAGGCCUUCGGGUUGUAAAGCCCUUUUGUUGGGAAAGAAAAGCAGCAGGUUAAUACCCCGCUGUUCUGACGGUACCCAAAGAAUAAGCACCGGCUAACUUCGUG
This 492-nucleotide ribosomal RNA is filed under the name uncultured bacterium. Its description in RNAcentral is "partial 16S ribosomal RNA". It matches the Rfam family "Bacterial small subunit ribosomal RNA", at positions 29 to 507 of the family's 1533-position model. The record is from RNAcentral.